RNAcentral lists this transfer RNA (68 nucleotides) under Marmota monax (woodchuck). Its description in RNAcentral is "tRNA.Ala". Lineage: Eukaryota; Metazoa; Chordata; Mammalia; Rodentia; Sciuridae. The record is from RNAcentral.
GGUUUGUGGCUCAGUGGUAGAAUGCUUGCCUGGCAUGUGUGAGGCACUGGGUUCAAUUCUCAGCACCA